AUUGAACGCUGGCGGCAGGCCUAACACAUGCAAGUCGGACGGUAGCACAGAGAGCUUGCUCUCGGGUGACGAGUGGCGGACGGGUGAGUAAUGUCUGGGGAUCUGCCCGAUAGAGGGGGAUAACCACUGGAAACGGUGGCUAAUACCGCAUAACGUCGCAAGACCAAAGAGGGGGACCUUCGGGCCUCUCACUAUCGGAUGAACCCAGAUGGGAUUAGCUAGUAGGCGGGGUAAUGGCCCACCUAGGCGACGAUCCCUAGCUGGUCUGAGAGGAUAACCAGCCACACUGGAACUGAACCACGGUCCAGACUCCUACGGGAGGCAGCAGUGGGGAAUAUUGCACAAUGGGCGCAAGCCUGAUGCAGCCAUGCCGCGUGUAUGAAGAAGGCCUUCGGGUUGUAAAGUACUUUCAGCGGGGAGGAAGGCGAUGUGGUUAAUAACCGCGUCGAUUGACGUUACCCGCAGAAGAAGCACCGGCUAACUCCGUGCCAGCCGCCGCGGUAA
Molecule: ribosomal RNA, 504 nt
Filed under: uncultured bacterium
Lineage: Bacteria
Description: partial 16S ribosomal RNA
Rfam family: Bacterial small subunit ribosomal RNA
Source: RNAcentral